RNA transcript from Mus musculus (house mouse), 7296 nucleotides. It is a transcript of the gene named plexin D1, with no coding region annotated. The transcript has 36 exons. The record is from RefSeq and is marked validated. Lineage: Eukaryota; Metazoa; Chordata; Mammalia; Rodentia; Muridae.
CACGGGGCGGAGUUGACAGGAUCGGAGUAGGGGAGUCCGAGAGAUUGAAAGAGCGAAACUCUGAGAGGCGGUGGAAGGCAAACGGGAGCCCAGAAACAGAACAGAGAAGGUACUAGAGCGAGGAGAAAGAGAGGAAGGAUAACAAACAAGCGAGAGGAAGACAUUCCAGGAGCUGGCCAGGAACCAGGAAAGAGGCAGGCAACUUGCGACUGCCCGGGUAUCGGCCACCAGUGACCUCGGACCGCGGGGCGUGGCCCAGAGGCGUGGCCGGGGGCGUGGCCCGGGGCGAAAGGGCGUGGGCCAAGCUGCUGGGGCGGGGAGAUGGGCUGUGGGCGUGGUCUCCACGGAGCCGCCCCCGGGCUGAGCGCCUCGCCAGAGUCGGGCCGGGGCGCCGGGGCCGGGGGCGGCAGGCGCGGGCAGGAAGCGCCUCGCGGCCCGGGCCCCCCCCCCGCCUCUCGCCGCCUCCGAGCUCCCGGCUCCCGGCCGCGCCGCGCCCCAUGCACUCGCCGCGCCGCGCAGCCCGCGCUCGCCUGGAUGGCUCGUCGCGCCGCGGGCGGCGCACCCCCUAGCGCCCGGGCCGCCGCGGCCGUCCCCUUGCGUCCGCGCCCUCACUCGCGGGGCCCUGGUCUGCUGCCGCUGCCUCUGCUGCUGCUGCUCGGGGCGGCACGGGCCGGCGCCCUAGAGAUCCAGCGCCGUUUCCCCUCGCCCACGCCCACCAACAACUUCGCCCUGGACGGCACGGCGGGCACCGUGUACUUGGCGGCAGUGAACCGCCUGUACCAACUGUCGAGUGCCAACUUGAGCCUGGAAGCCGAGGCGACCGUGGGUCCCGUGCCGGACAGCCCGCUGUGUCACGCCCCGCAGCUCCCGCAGGCCUCGUGCGAGCACCCGCGGCGCCUCACGGACAACUACAACAAAAUCCUGCAGUUGGACCCGGGCCAGGGUCUGGUGGUCGCGUGCGGCUCCAUCUACCAGGGUCUGUGCCAGCUGAGGCGCCGGGGCAACAUCUCAGCCCUGGCCGUGAGCUUUCCGCCUGCCGCGCCGACCGCAGAACCGGUCACCGUGUUCCCCAGCAUGCUCAACGUGGCCGCCAACCACCCCAACGCGUCCACUGUGGGACUGGUGCUGCCGCCUACCUCGGGCACCGGGGGCAGCCGUCUGCUCGUGGGCGCCACGUACACCGGCUUCGGCAGCGCUUUCUUCCCGCGCAACCGUAGCCUAGAAGACCACCGCUUCGAGAACACGCCCGAGAUCGCUAUCCGCUCCCUGGACGCGCGUGGAGACUUGGCCAAGCUCUUCACCUUCGACCUUAACCCGUCGGACGAUAACAUCCUGAAGAUCAAGCAGGGCGCCAAGGAGCAGCACAAGCUGGGCUUCGUGCGUGCCUUCUUGCACCCGGCGGUGCCACCGCACAGCGCGCAGCCCUACGCGUACCUGGCGCUCAACAGCGAGGCGCGUGCGGGCGACAAGGACAGCCAGGCGCGCAGCCUGCUGGCGCGCAUCUGCCUGCCCCGCGGCGCGGGUGGCGACGCCAAGAAGCUCACCGAGUCCUACAUCCAACUGGGCUUGCAGUGCGCGGGCGGCGCGGGCCGCGGCGACCUCUACAGCCGCCUCGUGUCGGUUUUCCCCGCGCGCGAGCAGUUCUUCGCUGUCUUCGAGAGGCCCCAGGGCGCCCCAGGUGCCCGCAACGCCCCGGCCGCGCUUUGCGCCUUCCGCUUCGACGACGUGCAGGCUGCCAUUCGUGCAGCGCGCACCGCCUGCUUCGUGGAGCCGGCGCCCGACGUGGUGGCGGUGUUGGACAGUGUGGUGCAGGGCACCGGGCCGGCCUGCGAGAGCAAGCGCAACAUACAGCUGCAGCCGGAGCAACUGGAUUGCGGAGCGGCCCACCUGCAGCACCCACUGACCAUCCUGCAGCCGCUGAGGGCAUCGCCCGUGUUCCGUGCUCCAGGGCUCACGGCCGUGGCUGUGGCCAGUGCCAACAACUACACGGCCGUCUUUCUGGGCACCGCCACAGGGAGGCUCCUCAAGAUCAGCCUGAACGAGAGCAUGCAGGUAGUAAGCAGGCGAGUGCUGACUGUAGCCUAUGGGGAGCCUGUGCAUCACGUCAUGCAGUUUGACCCCAUGGAUCCUGGUUACCUAUACCUGAUGACAUCCCACCAGAUGGCCCGAGUGAAGGUGGCAGCGUGUGAGGUACACUCCACCUGCGGGGACUGCGUGGGUGCGGCCGAUGCCUACUGUGGUUGGUGCACUCUGGAGACCCGGUGCACACUCCAGCAGGAUUGCACCAACUCCAGCCAGCCACAUUUCUGGACCAGUGCCAGUGAGGGCCCCAGCCGCUGCCCUGCCAUGACAGUACUGCCCUCGGAGAUUGAUGUGCACCGGGACUACACAGGUAUGAUCUUACAGAUCUCAGGAAGCCUGCCCAGCCUCAGCGGCAUGGAGAUGGCUUGUGACUAUGGAAAUGGCGUUCGAACGGUGGCCCGGGUACCUGGCCCUGCCUAUGAUCAUCAGAUUGCCUACUGCAAUCUCCUGCCCAGGGCCCAGUUUCCAUCCUUUCCUGCUGGCCAGGACCACGUGACCGUUGAGAUGUCUGUAAGGGUCAAAGGACACAACAUUGUCUCAGCCAAUUUCACCAUCUACGACUGCAGCCGAAUUGGACAAGUCUACCCCCAUACAGCCUGUACCAGCUGCCUGUCCACACAGUGGCCUUGCUCCUGGUGCAUCCAGCUGCAUUCAUGUGUCUCCAACCAGUCUCAGUGCCAGGACUCGCCAAACCCCACGAGUCCUCAGGACUGUCCCCAGAUCCUGCCCUCGCCCCUAGCGCCCGUGCCCACAGGUGGCUCCCAAGACAUCCUGGUGCCCCUGACUAAAGCCACCUUCUUCCAUGGUUCCUCCCUCGAGUGCAGCUUUGGGCUGGAAGAGAGCUUUGAGGCUGUAUGGGCGAAUAACUCACUGGUCCGCUGCAACCAAGUGGUGCUGCACACAACCCAGAAGAGCCAGGUAUUUCCACUGAGUCUGAAGCUGAAGGGGCCGCCAGACCGAUUCCUAGACAGCCCUAACCCCAUGACAGUUGUGGUCUACAACUGUGCUAUGGGCAGCCCUGACUGUUCCCAGUGCCUGGGCCGUGAGGACCUGGGUCACCUCUGUGUUUGGAAUGAUGGCUGUCGUCUAAGAGGGCCCCUGCAGCCACUCCCUGGCACCUGCCCAGCCCCUGAAAUCCGAGCGAUUGAGCCUCUGAGUGGCCCCUUGGACGGUGGGACUUUGCUGACCAUCCGUGGCAGGAACUUGGGCCGUCGGCUCAGUGAUGUGGCACAUGGUGUGUGGAUUGGCAGUGUGGCCUGUGAACCCCUGGCUGACAGAUACACCGUUUCAGAGGAGAUCGUGUGUGCCACAGGGCCUGCCGCAGGGGCCUUCUCAGACGUGGUAACGGUGAACGUCUCCAAAGAAGGCAGGUCUCGGGAACAGUUCUCCUAUGUGCUGCCCACAGUCCACUCACUGGAGCCUUCCAUGGGCCCAAAGGCCGGGGGUACAAGGAUCACCAUUCACGGCAGUGACCUCAACGUGGGCUCUAUGCUCCAGGUCCUGGUGAAUGACACGGACCCCUGCACAGAUCUUACGCGCACAGCCACCAGCAUCACCUGCACUGUGCCAGGGGGUACCCUGCCCUCUCCAGUGCCUGUGUGUGUGCGCUUCGAGAGCCGGGGCUGCGUGCACGGAAACCUCACCUUCUGGUACAUGCAGAACCCAGUCAUCACAGCCAUCAGCCCAGGCCGCAGCCCUGUCAGUGGCGGCAGGACCAUCACUGUGGCUGGCGAACGCUUCCACAUGGUGCAGAAUGUAUCAAUGGCUGUACACCACAUUGGCCGGGAGCCCACGUUCUGCAAGGUUCUCAACUCCACACUCAUCACCUGCCCAUCUCCUGGAGCCCUGAGCAAUGCUUCGGCGCCUGUAGACUUCUUCAUCAAUGGCCGGGCAUAUGCAGACGAGGCAGCCGAGGAGCUGCUGGACCCUGCAGAGGCACAGAGGGGCAGCCGGUUCCGCCUAGACUACCUCCCCAACCCACAGUUCUCCACAGCCAAGAGGGAGAAGUGGAUCAAACAUCACCCAGGAGAGCCGCUCACCCUCGUCAUCCAUAAGGAGCAAGACAGCCUGGGGCUGGAGAGCCAUGAGUACCACAUCAAGAUUGGCCAGGUGUCCUGCGACAUCCAAAUCAUCUCAGACAGAGUCAUCCACUGCUCAGUCAAUGAGUCGCUGGGCACGGCUGAAGGACAGCUGCCCAUCACAAUCCAGGUGGGGAACUUCAACCAGACCAUCGCCACACUGCAACUGGGGGGCAGCGAGACGGCCAUUGUGGUGUCCAUCGUCAUCUGCAGUGUCCUGUUGCUGCUGUCUGUGGUUGCUCUGUUCGUCUUCUGCACCAAGAGCCGCCGUGCCGAGCGCUACUGGCAGAAGACCCUGCUGCAGAUGGAAGAGAUGGAGUCUCAGAUCCGAGAGGAGAUCCGUAAAGGCUUUGCGGAGCUGCAGACAGACAUGACGGAUCUCACCAAGGAGCUGAACCGCAGCCAGGGCAUCCCCUUCUUGGAGUACAAGCACUUCGUGACUCGAACCUUCUUCCCCAAGUGCUCUUCCCUCUAUGAAGAGCGGUAUGUGCUGCCCUCGAAGACCCUCAACUCCCAGGGUGGCUCCCCGCCACAGGAAACCCACCCACUGCUGGGAGAGUGGAACAUCCCUGAACACUGUCGGCCCAGCAUGGAGGAGGGGAUCAGCCUGUUCUCCUCACUGCUCAACAACAAGCACUUCCUCAUCGUCUUCGUCCAUGCUCUGGAGCAGCAGAAGGACUUCGCAGUGCGUGACAGGUGCAGCCUGGCGUCCCUGCUGACCAUCGCGCUGCACGGCAAGCUGGAGUACUAUACGAGCAUCAUGAAGGAGCUGCUCGUGGACCUCAUCGACGCCUCGGCGGCCAAGAACCCCAAGCUCAUGUUGCGGCGCACGGAGUCUGUGGUGGAGAAGAUGCUUACCAACUGGAUGUCCAUCUGCAUGUACGGCUGCCUGAGGGAGACAGUAGGUGAGCCGUUCUUCCUGCUGUUGUGUGCCAUCAAGCAGCAGAUCAACAAAGGCUCCAUCGACGCCAUCACAGGCAAAGCCCGCUACACACUCAACGAGGAGUGGCUGCUGAGGGAGAACAUUGAGGCCAAGCCCCGGAACUUGAACGUGUCCUUCCAGGGCUGUGGGAUGGACUCCCUCAGCGUGCGGGCCAUGGACACCGACACGCUGACGCAGGUGAAGGAGAAGAUCCUGGAAGCCUUCUGCAAGAACGUCCCCUACUCACAGUGGCCGCGGGCGGAGGACGUGGACCUUGGUGGGCAAGGGCGGGCACCAUGCCUCGCAGCUGGCUGCUGCAGCCUCUUUCCUGUAAUGGUUUGCCUCGAGUACCCAGAGCUACGUCCUCCGGGACCUGGAUGACACAUCAGUGGUGGAGGACGGCCGUAAGAAACUGAACACACUGGCCCACUACAAGAUACCUGAGGGCGCCUCCCUAGCCAUGAGCCUCACAGACAAGAAGGACAGUACCCUGGGCAGAGUGAAAGACUUGGACACAGAAAAGUAUUUCCAUUUGGUGCUACCUACGGAUGAGCUGGUAGAGCCUAAGAAAUCUCACCGGCAGAGCCACCGCAAGAAAGUAUUGCCAGAGAUCUACCUGACCCGCCUGCUGUCCACCAAGGGCACGCUGCAGAAGUUCCUAGAUGACCUGUUCAAGGCUAUCCUGAGCAUCCGAGAGGACAAGCCCCCGCUGGCUGUCAAGUAUUUCUUUGACUUCCUAGAGGAACAGGCGGAGAAGAGAGGCAUCUCCGACCCUGACACCCUGCAUAUCUGGAAGACCAACAGCCUUCCCCUGCGCUUCUGGGUGAACAUCUUAAAAAAUCCCCAGUUUGUCUUCGACAUAGAGAAGACGGACCACAUCGACGCCUGCCUGUCUGUCAUCGCACAGGCCUUCAUCGAUGCCUGCUCCAUCUCUGACCUGCAGCUGGGCAAGGACUCACCCACCAACAAGCUUCUGUACGCGAAGGAGAUCCCUGAGUACCGGAAGACCGUACAGCGCUAUUAUAAACAGAUCCAAGACAUGACGCCGCUCAGCGAGCAGGAAAUGAACGCACACCUGGCCGAGGAGUCUCGGAAAUACCAGAAUGAGUUCAACACAAACGUGGCCAUGGCUGAGAUUUAUAAAUAUGCUAAGAGGUAUCGACCACAGAUCAUGGCUGCCCUGGAGGCCAACCCCACAGCCCGCAGGACCCAGCUACAGCACAAGUUUGAACAGGUGGUGGCUCUGAUGGAAAACAAUAUCUAUGAGUGUUACAGCGAGGCCUGAUGCAGAAGAGUGACCAGGAGCUUCGGCCAGGGAGACGGCGUGCAGGCCACUUGGCCUCCACUUGGUUUCUUCCCCACAUCUCUCACUUGGGCUGGGAACUGACAGAGGAGCCUGCUGGGCUAGGAGUGGGGGACACUGGCCUCUUAGUGCCCGGCUGCCGAGCUCUUGGCCUUGUCCCCUGGGGCAUCUCUGUCCCCUCCACCUGCCCAAGACCCAACUCUAGGAUGAAGGCCUUGAAUAUCGAUCGCUGCCAGUCCCUAAUAAGACUUUCCCUGCCAACCAGGACAGCCUGGACCAUGCCUGCCUGUUCACUGUUUCAGGCUGCUCAGCACACAUUGGGAGAGGUGGCCAUAUCCCAGAACACUACCUCAUCCACCUGGCAGAGGGAAUUUCUGCUUCAGCCACCAAGCAGUUGUCUGUGUCCCUCAUCCAGAGGGGGCCUUGGCCACCAACAGUUCCAAACCAGGUCAGCUGUUAGCCGUCUCAUUGGCCAGUGGCAGCAUGGGCAGUGCCCAUUGCCCACAGAACGGUGGAGAGAGGGGGACAGGCUGGGGGGUUCCUGGCCCCAGGAAAGGGAGGAAGGCGAGGAUGCAGGGCUGUAGCUGGACUACUCAGUCUUCCUGGAAGUGUUUCUAAAGAGCACCACUUUUUUUUGAUUUUUAAGAAAAAAAAACUUUUAUAUAUUAAAACAAAAACUUAUGCACCAACUGUGAAUAGCUGCCGCUUGUGCAGAUCCCCAGGGGCUCCCGGUGACACACUGGAAAUGACUGUUCCAGGGGACAGAAAAUACUCAUCUGUCCCCAGCACAGCCCCCACCCCACCCCCCAUAGCUGCUGAGACUGGCUCACAGCCCAAGGGGGCUGGGCUGGAGGGGAAGGCUGGGACUCUCUGGAACAUUCUUUAUAAUAAAAGCCUGCCGGGAAAACCUA